GCUGUGGCUCGGCGGCAGUGCAUCUGCUUGGCACGCAGAAGGUCCCGGUUUCGAUCCCCAGCAUCUCUG
Molecule: transfer RNA, 69 nt
Filed under: Sphaerodactylus townsendi
Lineage: Eukaryota; Metazoa; Chordata; Lepidosauria; Squamata; Sphaerodactylidae
Description: tRNA-Ala
Source: RNAcentral